UGCCAUCUUGAGAUGUUCCUGAGCCCCUCUAUCGAGACCUCCCUCGAGACCGCCCAUCUCGAUCUCCUGCUGAGACCCCCCUCGAGAUCCUAUCUUGAUUUGCUGUUGCUCGACAGCUCUCUUUGCAGGUUUUCUCUUACACAAUUGAAUGACCCACGGCUUAAAACACUUUUUCAGAGAGAAGAAAGCCCUAGAAACCCCACGGACC
RNAcentral lists this long non-coding RNA (208 nucleotides) under Elaeis guineensis (African oil palm). Its description in RNAcentral is "long non-coding RNA (EGUI_LNC012895)". Lineage: Eukaryota; Viridiplantae; Streptophyta; Magnoliopsida; Arecales; Arecaceae. The record is from RNAcentral.